Molecule: ribosomal RNA, 529 nt
Filed under: uncultured bacterium
Lineage: Bacteria
Description: bacterial SSU rRNA
Rfam family: Bacterial small subunit ribosomal RNA
Source: RNAcentral
GGCCGCGUCGACGGGAAUUUCCGCAAUGGGCGAAAGCCUGACGGAGCAAGACCGCGUGGGGGAAGAAGGCUCUUGGGUUGUAAACCCCUUUUCUCUGGGAAGAAAGUUGUGAAAGCAACCUGGACGGUACCAGAGGAAUCAGCAUCGGCUAACUCCGUGCCAGCAGCCGCGGUAAUACAGAGACUGCAAGCGUUAUUCGGAUUCACUGGGCGUAAAGGGUGCGCAGGCGGCCAAGUGUGUGAGGCGUGAAAGCCUGGGGCUUAACCCCAGAAUUGCACCUCAAACUACAUGGCUAGAGCAUUGGAGAGGGUAGCAGAAUUCAUGGUGUAGCAGUGAAAUGCGUAGAUAUCAUGAGGAAUACCAGAGGCGAAGGCGGCUACCUGGACAAUUGCUGACGCUCAGGCACGAAAGCGUGGGUGAAACUUUUCCACUUAUUCCCGCCUGAUUAAAAGUCUUCUGCAUCACAUAUUCAAUUCCACGCUUGCUUAAAGGGGUUGCCCAAAUUGCUCAAAAAAAACNUGUUGCUCAG